UGCUAAUUUUUUUUUUUUGUUUUGUAAUAGUUUUUAGUUACUACUUGUUUAUUACUGGUACUAGCGUUCUUACCUGGUUGAGAUCCGAAUGUAACACCCACACCUAUGUUUCUCGUAAGGAUGAGAAUAAAAUGUUUUUCUUUGG
Juglans microcarpa x Juglans regia is the source of this 145-nucleotide long non-coding RNA. RefSeq lists it as uncharacterized. The transcript is spliced from 4 exons. NCBI's taxonomy places the organism in Eukaryota, Viridiplantae, Streptophyta, Magnoliopsida, Fagales, Juglandaceae. The record is from RefSeq and is a predicted model, not a curated record.